AUUGAACGCUAGCGGGAUGCUUUACACAUGCAAGUCGAACGGCAGCGCGGACUUCGGUCUGGCGGCGAGUGGCGAACGGGUGAGUAAUGUAUCGGAACGUGCCCAGUAGCGGGGGAUAACUACGCGAAAGCGUAGCUAAUACCGCAUACGCCCUACGGGGGAAAGCAGGGGAUCGUAAGACCUUGCACUAUUGGAGCGGCCGAUAUCGAAUUAGCUAGUUGGUGAGGUAACGGCUCACCAAGGCGACGAUCCGUAGCUGGUUUGAGAGGACGACCAGCCACACUGGGACUGAGACACGGCCCAGACUCCUACGGGAGGCAGCAGUGGGGAAUUUUGGACAAUGGGGGCAACCCUGAUCCAGCCAUCCCGCGUGUGCGAUGAAGGCCUUCGGGUUGUAAAGCACUUUUGGCAGGAAAGAAACGUCGCGGGCUAAUACCCCGUGGAACUGACGGUACCUGCAGAAUAAGCACCGGCUAACUACGUG
RNAcentral lists this ribosomal RNA (484 nucleotides) under uncultured bacterium. Its description in RNAcentral is "partial 16S ribosomal RNA". It matches the Rfam family "Bacterial small subunit ribosomal RNA", at positions 30 to 507 of the family's 1533-position model. The record is from RNAcentral.